GACGAACGCUGGCGGCGUGCCUAAUACAUGCAAGUAGAACGCACAGUUUAUACCGUAGCUUGCUACACCAUAGACUGUGAGUUGCGAACGGGUGAGUAACGCGUAGGUAACCUGCCUGGUAGCGGGGGAUAACUAUUGGAAACGAUAGCUAAUACCGCAUAAUAUUAAUUAUUGCAUGAUAAUUAAUUGAAAGGUGCAAUUGCACCACUACCAGAUGGACCUGCGUUGUAUUAGCUAGUAGGUGAGGUAACGGCUCACCUAGGCGACGAUACAUAGCCGACCUGAGAGGGUGAUCGGCCACACUGGGACUGAGACACGGCCCAGACUCCUACGGGAGGCAGCAGUAGGGAAUCUUCGGCAAUGGACGAAAGUCUGACCGAGCAACGCCGCGUGAGUGAAGAAGGUUUUCGGAUCGUAAAGCUCUGUUGUAAGAGAAGAACGGGUGUGGGAGUGGAAAGUUCACACUGUGACGGUAUCUUACCAGAAAGGGACGGCUAACUACGUG
Molecule: ribosomal RNA, 505 nt
Filed under: uncultured bacterium
Lineage: Bacteria
Description: partial 16S ribosomal RNA
Rfam family: Bacterial small subunit ribosomal RNA
Source: RNAcentral